Molecule: ribosomal RNA, 253 nt
Filed under: uncultured bacterium
Lineage: Bacteria
Description: partial 16S ribosomal RNA
Rfam family: Bacterial small subunit ribosomal RNA
Source: RNAcentral
UACGGGGGGAGCAAGCGUUGUUCGGAUUUAUUGGGCGUAAAGCGUCCGCAGGUGGCUAUACAAGUCUGCUGUUAAAGCGUGGGGCUUAACUCCAUACAGGCAGUGGAAACUGUAAAGCUAGAGUCUGGUAGGGGUCACGGGAAUUCCCAGUGUAGCGGUGAAAUGCGUAGAUAUUGGGAAGAACACCAGCGGCGAAAGCGCGUGACUGGGCCGGAACUGACACUCAUGGACGAAAGCUAGGGGAGCGAAAGGG